RNAcentral lists this unclassified non-coding RNA (3015 nucleotides) under Leishmania donovani. Its description in RNAcentral is "gene:LdHU3.36.0920(CDS-product:EamA-like_transpor ter_family_putative)". The record is from RNAcentral. Lineage: Eukaryota; Euglenozoa; Kinetoplastea; Trypanosomatida; Trypanosomatidae.
CGGCGCAAUCAUCUUCUCUUCUCUGUUCCUUCUACACGGAGCGCCUAACUUGAGCCAUGACCGACGCGUUGUCUUCAGCAGUGUUUAUCGCUCUCGCCAUCCUCUUUCUCUUUUGGGGCACCGUGCAGACGCUGAGCUUGAAGUGGGCCGACACCAUUGAUGCUUCUGAUGGAUUUACGGGUCCCACGAGCGGCCAAGGCGGUUCUCACGCCGUUCACUUCCGGCUGCUCUACUCCUUUGCCCACCCCUUUACGCAAGCCUUCUUCAUGUUCUGCGCAGAGACAAGCUGCCUGGUAAUGCUCGUCUGCACGCUUGUGUGGAAGAAGUAUGUGGCACCCCGUCUGUACGACAGCAGGAAGGCUACUACUGCUGCCCCCUCAGGCGAAUUGGUGGCGGGCGAGGACUAUGCGCUGCCCUGCAACCCGUCUCUCUGGCUGCUGCCGUCUGGCGCGGACUUUUUGGCGAGUAUAGUGCAGAACGUCGGCCUGACGCUCACGUACGCCUCUGUGUACCAGAUGCUGUGCGGCUCCACCGUUGUGUGGAUUGCCCUCAUCUCGCACUUCUGGCUAGGUUACCGCUUCACGAAGGUGGAGCUGUGGGGGAUGGGCUGCGUCGUUCUAGGUGUCUUUUUGGUGGGCCUGAGCAACCUUCUCGAACGGGGGCUCGACUUCGAGAGCACCUCACACGGGCGACAAAAGAAUCAGGUGCUGGGCAACCUCCUUGUCUUGAUGGCGCAGAUUCUGCACGCCUACCAAGGCGUGUGUGAGGAGCGGCUGAUCCGCCUCUACAAGGUUCCGUCGCUGCAGAUGGUGGGGACAGAGGGCAUCUACGGUAUCGGCAUGUCGCUCAGUCUGCUCGCCUUCUUGCAGCUGGUGCCAAUGGCCACCUGGGGCCACAAUUUGGCGGCUGUAGAGGAGUUUUUGUCCUCUGGUGGACCUGGCGUUCUACACACCAACGUUACAUGGGUGCAACAGCUGCAGCCGGCGCUGAAGGUGCCCUACGAUGACGUGGUCCUCGCGUUUGCGCAGAUACGAGAGUCGUUGGAGUGCAAGGUGUUCAUCUUAGUCUAUCUCCUUUCCGGCUUUUUCUACAACGCGUGCCACAUGAGCGUCAUCAAGUACGUGUCGGCAACGGCCACUGUCAUGAUUGGAUCCCUGCGCAACGUAACUGUGUGGCUGGUGUGCCUCCUCAUCCCAUCCGUCUUCGAGGAGCACUUCAACGUGGUGCAGCUCAUCGGGUUUGUGUUUCUUGUGCUCGGCAACGUGCUGUUUCACCGAAUUUGCAUUACGCGCUUUGACGCCAUUCUGCCCGCGCAGGUGAUUGACGCCUGCCCGGUGCUCUUCCGCGAUGCCCGGAAGGAUAGGGAGGACGUUGUGAAGGUGGAGACCAGGAUCAGGGAUACAUCUCUUGAGCCGCAGGUGAGGGAGAUGAGGCCCAAGGAGGGCUAGAUAUUAGGAUAAAAAUGCGAGCGGUAGGUACGCUAAGCGGUUGAGACACCUGUCCGUCAAGGGAAGAAGAGGUGUCUUUACUUGUUUGCUUCGUUGCGCUCUCUGGAAGGUGAGAGGAGGAGGGGUGCGGGCAGCGAGGCCCAUUGACUUGCUCUGGUAUGGUCGAAAGAGCAGCGUUUCGUACGUGAAAUGAUUAUCAAGCAUGCCAGCUGGCUUAUCGCUAUGUUCUCUUCCUCUCACCGCUCCAGGCGCUGUACUUGCCGUGUGCCUGACUAUUUUUUCGCCUUCAUGCUUGACAACAGCUGUGUUGGAGUGAUGCAGACGUAGCCCAGCCCCUCUUCCUCGACAGGGAAGGCGCGUGUAAAGGCAGGAAAGGGCCACACCUGCUGCACCGGAUUCCUGCAACUUCAAUGACCAUUCACGGCUACGCAGAUGCCUUGCCACGAUACGACAAGUGCCCCUGUGCUUUGUUUGCGUGCGUUGGGUUGGUCUCUUUUCCUUUCGGUGUCGAUUGGCGUUUGAACGUUUUUUUUUUGUUCGCAUGCACGUGCCUGUGGGCGCUUUUGUAUCGUCUUUGAGGAACAAACAGGAGUUCUUCAGUGUGGCGGAGCCUGCACCCGAUUCUCGUGCUUUGCCCCUCACCCGCACCCCACCCACACCCUCUCUCUCUGUUUAUGUGCUUCGAGGUUGUAAGUCUGCCGCUUUUUUUUUCGACUCUCCCCUCUUCCGUCCAUAUAUGUAUGAAUAUAUAUAUUCCCCCUUACCCCCUCUUUAUGCACACUCUGAGGUCUGAGAAAAGUCUACGGCUCUUUGAUGCGUGCGGAGCUGGGCGCGUUCGGGGUACCUUUUCCCUCUUUCUGGCGCAGCUCUUCCUCUCUCUAUUGGGUCCUUGCCCAUCCGCCUUCCUGCGAGAAUGACUUCUCCUCACCUAUCCCCCCCCCUGGCACUCGUCGCUUCGACUCUUGCCAUGAUUCAAAAUGAAGAUGAGCAAGCAGCCUCUCCUCUCUCUCUAUUUUUUUUUCCCCAAACACCGCUUUGUUUUUGCACAUUUCUAUUUUGAGCGUAUCGCCCUGUGGUGUUCUCUCGAGUAGCCAUGAGCGCUGCGCUGCUGCAUGGAGACGCUUUACAGCUCGCAUGGAUGCAAGCGUGUGUAAGGGAAGGUCAUCGUUCUUCUCUCCCUCUCAAGUGCGCGGUUUUCGCUCACGUUGCUCGCGGUUGAAGAAGCACGCCGGAUACCGUGCAGAUGACGACGUCUUCCAUGAACCCUCCUCCCCUGCACACGCGCACGCAUUUUGCCACACCUCUCUUGAAGCGGUGGUCUUUCAAAGAUGGAAAGGGCGUCAUGCACGUUUGUGUGCAUGUGUGUGGGAAUGCCAACCACCACAUGCUCGCAACCGCAGACCGGUGAAGGCCCCGCCGUCUACGAGGGAAAAAAAAGGGAAAACAAAAGACAGCUAAAAGGCAGCAUCAGCAGUCAGAGAUGGCCUCCCUCUCUUUUCCGACGGACGGGCGCUUUGCCCGGCAUGGCGCGCUGCAUCAGAUUCUGCUCAGGAGCAGUAAGGCGAGG